AGUGAACGCUGGCGGUAUGCCUAACACAUGCAAGUCGAACGGCAGCACAGUAAGAGCUUGCUCUUACGGGUGGCGAGUGGCGGACGGGUGAGGAAUACAUCGGAAUCUACUUUUUCGUGGGGGAUAACGUAGGGAAACUUACGCUAAUACCGCAUACGACCUACGGGUGAAAGCAGGGGAUCUUCGGACCUUGCGCGAUUGAAUGAGCCGAUGUCGGAUUAGCUAGUUGGCGGGGUAAAGGCCCACCAAGGCGACGAUCCGUAGCUGGUCUGAGAGGAUGAUCGGCCACACUGGAACUGAGACACGGUCCAGACUCCUACGGGAGGCAGCAGUGGGGAAUAUUGGACAAAGGGCGCAAGCCUGAUCCAGCCAUACCGCGUGGGUGAAGAAGGCCUUCGGGUUGUAAAGCCCUUUUGUUGGGAAAGAAAAGCAGCAGGUUAAUACCCCGCUGUUCUGACGGUACCCAAAGAAUAAGCACCGGCUAACUUCGUG
Molecule: ribosomal RNA, 492 nt
Filed under: uncultured bacterium
Lineage: Bacteria
Description: partial 16S ribosomal RNA
Rfam family: Bacterial small subunit ribosomal RNA
Source: RNAcentral